Molecule: long non-coding RNA, 5042 nt
Organism: Anas platyrhynchos (mallard)
Lineage: Eukaryota; Metazoa; Chordata; Aves; Anseriformes; Anatidae
Source: RefSeq, a predicted model, not a curated record
ACAAGGGAGGCUGCUGAGGUCUUUGGUAUUCAUGGCCAGGUGUUUACUGUGGCUUUGCUCUUUGCGUUAGCAGAGUACCAUCAUUUUAAAUGAUUUUUCACAGGUAGAAGACCUGAGUGAUUUCAAAAAAAGUAUUUAACUUCUUGUGGUAUCUUCAGGAGCAUCGGUAUGUGGGUCUUCACUGCAGAAUAUUGGGCCCAAAAUAUGUGUACAGGUUGAUAAGGCUGCAGUAUGCAGACUUUAGCACUCUCCAAAGAGAGGAAUCAUAAAUCCUGGCUCCUUUCCGUGCCCCUUGCCUCCAGUUUCUGCCUCCUGGCACAUGGCCAUUUUUAAUGAUAAAACAACACGAAUUGCCUUUCUUCUUCCUUUGUACUGCAGCAAAAGAAAACAUAGAUAAAGCAGCAUUGUUCUUCUGUCUGAUGAUGGACCAUGUGGUGAAGGACAAAGCUCCAGUUUCCAUGGCAUCCUAAAAACUUAGCUAUCAUACUUCAGAUAUUGAUGGGCCCUUGUAUGACAGAUGGAUGGUUCAGAACCUUUAUUUAUUGGGAUUUCAAUGACAGCUCAAAAUCUGGAGACUUCUAAACACAGAUGUUUCUCUGGGUGUCUUCGUUGGCUUUAUUUGGAGUUUUUGCACCUGGAGGACUUUUCUAUCUGACCUUGGUAUCUUUAUGACUGUCCUCAUCCUCUCAAGCUCCUAACCUCUUUCAGACAUUCUAUAACUAAAUGGGAUCAGAGGGCGAUCUGGGCAGAAAAGCUAGAAACAUGGAAAAAAGCUUGCUAAAAAUGCCAAAACCUCACAGACUUGUUCUCUGUUGCUGUCUUCAUCACUCCUCCUCCUCUCCCAGUGGUGUGUCUGGAGCUGGUGACAAACAGGUGAUUGCAGUGAUGGCAACGUUUUGCUACCUGAGAGCUCCUCACUGUUAGGCCAUUUAGGACAUAACAUGUCCCUAAGGAGAGGUGUCCACAGCAGCAGUCUUCCCUCAGUCACAUUGGCUCAUAAGGUGAAAUUUCUUAGCAAUGCAUGGGCUUCAAAUCUGUGAUUUCUAUUUUCUAUGUCAUUCAGCACGUGUAGCUGAGGUUUUGGGGCAUAUCUAGUAUCUGGAGCCAUUCAGCUUAGUGCAGUCAAAUCUGAAUUAGAUCACCCAUGGUCAUCGCCAAGUAGGAAAAGUUCCGCACAGGCCAAGAAUUUCUAAAACAUUAGCAUUUUGCAUAGCAGAAAUUACUGCUAGGUUUUCCUCCUGGUAAAUAAACAUAUAAACAAUGAAACACAAUAUCUUGGGACAUCAGGUCACUUCAGAGUAACUUUCCAUGGUCUUAUUUGAGUUUCUAGUUUUCUGAGAAGUUAUUAUAACCUUCCCUAUGCACGAUGAAUAGGAAAGUCCCAGCCCAGGUGAAUCAGCUGCCUGAACACCCAUCUGUCAGCAAAAUCAAAAUAAAUUUACACUUGUAGGGAAACUCAUCAUAAUCCUUAUGUCCUUUGCCACAGAAAGCUGACACAAAGCCUGAUUCUUCAAGAUUACAGGAUGUUUAUAAUAACCUCCCUGUUUCUGGGCAGGCAGCUUUUUUUUUUUUUCUUUUUUUCUUUUUUUUCUCAGUAAUAUACAUCUCAAUGGCUAAAUGCUGCUUUAAGCAUGAUCAAGACGAGGCUUAAUGGAAAUGUAACCUUUAAAAUGACCAAGUAUGGGGAACAAUACAUGUCCAAAGAAGAUGAAAGUUCUAAAAGUGAGCUGUCAGAUGAGGCCCUUAAUCAGGAUCUUAAUUAGGAACCUUAAUAAUUUAGGGUCCCUGUGCAGCUUGUCUGCUUCUCUGCAGGGAGACACUUAGUAGGAGGAGGAAAAAAUUCAAAGGAUGUCCUGCCACAGGGCAAUCUGUACUCAGAUUACAUGAUGGCAUUGCUGCUUCUUUUCCCUCCCCUUCCCAGCUCUCCACACCAUCCCCAGCUGUGUCCAGGUGUGUCCACCUUCCCUCAAUACCCACACAUUUUUUCUUCUUUCAUAAGGUGCCCCUCAUUAACACAACUCAUUGUCCUGCUGUUCUGUAUUUUUCUGUAGCUGUUGGACAAAAUUUGUUUAUAGGAUGGGCUCACGACAGUAACAGAACAGGAUAGGCAUGAGAAAUCCUCCCAGCUGAGGAAGAAAUCGCUGUGGGACUAAGUGCUCAGCUGGUUUUCAGCACACACCUUCCCUUGGACCAGCUGUUUCACAUCUUGGCCCUGGGCUGUGCUACCUGCACAACACGAUGGGCCUGCCCCAUCACAGGCUCUGUGUAUAGGGCCUGCAAUGACCUGGACAUCUGGGUGCUGGGACAUCUGCAAUGAGGGGACAUCUGGAGCAGGAAACUCUGUCCUGAAGGCCUUUCCUCAGAACAAUUGCAGUUUUUCUUGGACCAGACCAUCUCUUGGCCUCCUGAUUUCCCCUGGAGACUCAAGUCACCUCCUUUGCCCCCUUGUUUGUGUUGGUCAGGGUGUGGAAGAUACUGAGGAAAGUCAGAAAAUGCAGAGCUGCAUCUGUUCCCAACCCUCUCUAGGAACGAACAUGCAAGCUUAGAGGGUGAGGGCUACUGGGCCACUUUGCUGGUUGACCUCAAUGUGCUGCAGUUCUCCUUGACCACAAGAAUUUAAAUGGGGAGGAGAGAUCCUGCCAGAAUAACCUGGGGCAAAGACAGACACCCAAGAAGGUGCCAAGCCAAGCAGUGUGGGAUAGCAGCAAAGCAUCUGCCAGCAGAGAGAGCACCGGGAGCCCACUCAUCGCAACCCAAUAAGAACGAGCACUCCACAAAGUAAAGUAAUGUGUGAGCCAAGGAGGCUUAACUACAGCUUGUGGAACUGGGUGAGAAGCAGGUUGGAUGUGUAAGGCAAUUUAGCAUAAACUAGCCACGGCUGCUGUUGAUAUUGCUUCCUACGAUCCGUCACGAUGAGGUUGUGGUUGAGUAAUUCAGCAAAAGCUCCAGCUCCUCUCACAAAACAGAAAUCAACCAUCACUGAGUAUUAAUGGAGUGAGAAAAGUAAUUAGGUCUAAUUUCAAAUGUCUCAGCCAAUUAAGUAACAGAUGUGAGAAAAGCGGUGUAAUUUAGCUCUGCUCAUCAAAAAUGAAAUUGUCCACACUAACAAACCUCAUGCUGAGCCCCUGGAAGGCUCAUGCAAGGCUCCUUUGGGGAAAUACACAGGUUGUGCAAAGGUGUCAGGAUCAAGUGCACCUUCUGUUUUUCUUGUUCAUAAAAUUUUGUCUUUCAGGUUUCAGUGUUUUAAAGCUUGGCUCUGCCCUCAGGCAUUCCCAAGAAACCAAGUUAAGCCUGGCCAAACCAAGAGCUGUCACCAGGUCUGAGAAGAAGCCUUCAGUUCAUAAACGGGAAAUACGCUCCUCAAAAGGCAGGGUGUAAGCUCAACCUGCCAGAGCCCACCUCACCACUCACUCCGAGCCAAAAUUUACAACACUGUUUGCAAACACAGGACCAGAUCCGGGCUUUGAAUGUGCAUGAGCUUCAUGUGCAGUUGUCCCACUGAAUUUUGUUAUGUGGGAGUCAGGCCCAUCUAAGUAAGGCUAGCAGCCCUCCCCGAUGUCCAUGCUGGAGUUGGGCCAGCUCUGCUGCAGUCUCAGAUAUCACACUGGCUCAUGUGAUAUCUGAUAUCAUCACUGCUUUCUCCUGCUGUAUCCAGGUGAAAGCACCUUGGACGUCAUGGAAGUCCUAUUGCAAGAGGCAAGGGCCAAGGUGCAAAGCUGCAAUGGAAAGUGUCGAAAGCCUGGGAGCACAGGAGCUGAGUGUGAGGAAGAAAUACGUUCCCUGUAGCCUUCAAAGAGAUCUACGGGCUAUAACCAGCAGUUCAUGGGGUCUGUCACUGAAUGAAUGACAGGCUGGUGGGCUAAUGGAGUAUUUCAAUACAAGCCUGGAUCGGGUCUCACAUCCACACCUCUCAAUCACUUGCAAGACCCUUGCUCAGGGUAGAUCCACCUGGAGCUCACCAUGCCAAUGAAGAUUUCAUACUCAUUUAACAGCAUCUGUGUUUCUUUGGCUGCAGGAAGGGUGUUCAUAUCAUGGAUUUGUAGAUGAUUGAAUGAAAAUUUGUGUAGCAAUAUCAGGCCAGUGUUCACUCUGCUGGUGGGGUCACCCAGAGGCAUUGGGUUUGGGAGACUGCUUGGAAAUGGGUGAAGGCCCCUAAAGAAAUACCACAUUCACCUCUGAGGACUUGUUGGUUAAAAACAGCUAAUAGCUGCUGUUGACCUGUGCUGGGUUUGAAGCAGUGACCCAGAGAUGAAAGCCUUCUGUCCUAGUGCCAAUCCUUUGACUCUCUCUGCUGUAACAAUAAAUAUCCCCCAAAUCUCUUGGAACUCCCAGCAAUUAUAGCCUUAAAAUAAACUUUUAGCACAGGCUAGUAAUUACUGAAUGUUUCUUAUUGUUUCCCCUCUGGGAGAUGUGUAUCCCUCAGGAAAUGAGUUUCUAAUUAGAUAGGAGAAGCAGGGCAGCAACAAUAGUGUGGGAAAGCUAAAUUAAUAAAAGCUCCUAGGUACACUCUGACCAACCUGGACAGAGAAGUGACAAAUGAUGACUUGCCUGGACCAGAGGAUUUUAACUUCGUGUCUUCCUGGGAGAUGCCUGCACCAGCUGUGCCAGAAAAGAUGUGAUUGAAGGAAGAGAGGGAAGGAGUAAAGAUGUUUUUAGAGACCCUGGUAAAAAUCUGCACAGAGCAGUGCACAGCAAUGCUUAAAAAAAUAAAAAUAAAUCCCAAAUCAUGUGAUACUGGCAUCACCUUCUGCAGGACCUUGCCUACUAAUUUGUGUGGGUAGAUUAACAAAAUAGGCAUGCAUCCUCUUUCCUGAGGUGCUAAGCUAGUUCAUUUCAGAGCCCAAUAUUCCUUUUACAGACAGAAUUUUAGGGAUUCUGAUCUGCUUUACAGUGCCUGCCCUCUCACUGAACAAGUGGGCUGAAACAUUCUCCAAGCACCGUAUGGCUCAAAGAGACCAGGACCAGUGAUUCACAUCCUUUUGGAUGUGAAUUCUUGUGAUGGUUCAACAACCCAAUUCAGUUCCAUGUCUGGUUUUGUUUUU